RNAcentral lists this ribosomal RNA (442 nucleotides) under uncultured Bacillota bacterium. RNAcentral describes it as "uncultured Firmicutes bacterium partial 16S ribosomal RNA". The record is from RNAcentral. Lineage: Bacteria; Bacillati; Bacillota.
GACUACCGGGGUAUCUAAGCCUGUUUGCUCCCCACGCUUUCGCGCCUCAGCGUCAGUUACAGUCCAGAGAGCCGCCUUCGCCACUGGUGUUCCUCCUAAUAUCUACGCAUUUCACCGCUACACUAGGAAUUCCACUGUCCUCUCCUGCACUCAAGAUACCCAGUAUCAGUUGCAUAUCCGGGUUAAGCCCGCAUAUUUCACAUCUGACUUAAAUAUCCGCCUACGCGCCCUUUACGCCCAAUAAUUCCGGACAACGCUUGCCACCUACGUAUUACCGCGGCUGCUGGCACGUAGUUAGCCGUGGCUUCCUCCUUGGGUACCGUCAUUUUUUUCGUCCCCAAAGACAGAGCUUUACAACCCGAAGGCCUUCUUCACUCACGCGGCGUUGCUCCGUCAGGCUUUCGCCCAUUGCGGAAGAUUCCCCACUGCUGCCUCCCGUAGG